Hyaena hyaena (striped hyena) is the source of this 825-nucleotide long non-coding RNA. RefSeq lists it as uncharacterized. NCBI's taxonomy places the organism in Eukaryota, Metazoa, Chordata, Mammalia, Carnivora, Hyaenidae. The transcript has 3 exons. The record is from RefSeq and is a predicted model, not a curated record.
UAUAAGCAGAUGUGCAGGGGGAGUUGGGGUGUUGGCUGCUAGAUCUCCAGGAAGAAGACAUGAUGUCUGGGGUGUGCAAUGUCCACAACAGAGGAACUGGUGAGGUGGUCACUCAGUUGGAGCUGGAGCUGUGAGUUUACCAAAAGUGUGUCUACUGUGGGCAUUCACGUGGGGCAGAGGACCACUGGAUGUUCCCAUAUCUGUGCCACUGGUAGCUACACAGAAGGAACAAGAAACAACAGAAACCCCUUCCUUGUUUAGUGUCCCUUCAGCAUCCUCUACUGACAAAGUUUAACAUCAAUCAAAGAAGAAAUGCUUAAAGGGUCAAGCUCCAAUAUCACAGAGCAAGUAAGAGUUGAUUUAGAGCUGACAGGGAAUCUGAUAACCGGCAGACUUGGUAUUCAGGUAUCUUCAUGAAGAGUAAAGCAUGACAAAAACAAUAAAUUGGAAAUACACAUGACAUCAAAUGUGACUAAAAUACGAUAAUUAAAGAAUUCUGUCACUGCUGUCAUUUCUUCAGUACACUCUGAAAAUGGGGAAAAUAAAUCAGAAAGCAUGAGCUGAAGAUCUUGUCCAGACUACUGAAGAGCUCAUAUUUGAAAUGAAAUCCAUCUGGCUUUCUACUACAUAACACUGCUCCUCUAAGUCAAGUCACAAAGGACAUAAAACGAACAGAUGAUAAGAGUGGAGCAGAUGAGCCAACUCAACUCAGGAACCUUGACCAACCCACCUAACAAACACAAGACAAAUGAGUGAGACCAUCUGGGACCAUUCAGCCCCAGACAACCUACCAGGUGACUGCAGACCACCCAACAGACCCACAGA